This 373-nucleotide ribosomal RNA is filed under the name uncultured bacterium. RNAcentral's name for it is "bacterial SSU rRNA". It matches the Rfam family "Bacterial small subunit ribosomal RNA", at positions 29 to 422 of the family's 1533-position model. The record is from RNAcentral.
AACGAACGCUGGCGGCAUGCCUAACACAUGCAAGUCGAACGGGAUCCUAGCUUGCUAGGUGAGAGUGGCGGACGGGUGAGUAACACGUGGGAAUCUGCCUUUUGGUUCGGGAUAACCGCGGGAAACUGCGGCUAAUACCGAAUGCCCUCGAGAGAGGAAAGAUUUAUCGCCAGAAGAGGAGCCCGCGUCCGAUUAGGUAUUGGUGGGGUAAAGGCCUACCAAGCCGACGAUCGGUAGCUGGUCUGAGAGGAUGAUCAGCCACACUGGGACUGAGAUACGGCCCAGACUCCUACGGGAGGCAGCAGUGGGGAAUAUUGGACAAUAGGGGCAACCCUGAUCCAGCAAUGCCGCGUGAGUGAUGAAGGCCUUAGGG